GGACUACAAGGGUAUCUAAUCCUGUUUGCUCCCCACGCUUUCGCGUCUCAGCGUCAGUACCGUCCCAGCGAGCUGCCUUCGCCAUUGGUGUUCCUCCUGAUAUCUGCGCAUUUCACCGCUACACCAGGAAUUCCACUCGCCCCUUCCGGACUCUAGCUCGACAGUAUCCACCGGCUUUCCAGGGUUGAGCCCUGGACUUUCACAGCAGACUUAUCAAGCCGCCUACACGCUCUUUACGCCCAAUAAUUCCGGACAACGCUUGCACCCUACGUAUUACCGCGGCUGCUGGCAC
RNAcentral lists this ribosomal RNA (292 nucleotides) under uncultured bacterium. RNAcentral's name for it is "partial 16S ribosomal RNA". The record is from RNAcentral.